GCGCCGGCGAUGUUUCAUUCAAAUUUCUGCCCUAUCAACUUUCGACGGUAGGGUAGUGGCCUACCGUGGUGGUAACGGGUAACGGAGGAUUAGGGUUCGAUUCCGGAGAGGGAGCCUGAGAAACGGCUACCACAUCCAAGGAAGGCAGCAGGCGCGCAAAUUACCCAAAUCCCAACUCGGGGAGGUAGUGACAAGAAAUAACGAUGCUCCGGCCAUCGGUCGGGUAAUCGGAAUGAGGACAAUUUAAAUCCCUUAUCGAGGAUCAAUUGGAGGGCAAGUCUGGUGCCAGCAGCCGCGGUAAUUCCAGCUCCAAUAGCGUAUAUUUAAGUUGCUGCGGUUAAAAAGCUCGUAGUCGGAUUUCGGGUGGUGCCUACCGGUCCGCCUUUGGUGUGUACUGGUAGGCGCCACCUUUCUGCCGAGGACGGGUUCCUGGGCUUAACUGUCUGGGGCCCGGAGUCGGCGACGUCACUUUGAGUAAAUUAGGGUGUUUAAAGCAGGCUUAUGCUCUGUAUACACUAGCAUGGGAUGACACGAUAGGACUUCGGUCUAUCUUGUCGGUCUGUAGAUCGGAGUAAUGAUUAAGAGGGACAGUCGGGGGCAUUCGUAUUUCGUAGUCAGAGGUGAAAUUCUUGGAUUUACGGAAGACGAACUUCUGCGAAAGCAUUUGCCAAGGAUGUUUUCAUUGAUCAAGAACGAAAGUCGGGGGCUCGAAGACGAUUAGAUACCGUCGUAGUCUCGACCAUAAACGAUGCCGCA
Molecule: ribosomal RNA, 756 nt
Filed under: Trentepohliaceae sp. Kukwa 19098
Lineage: Eukaryota; Viridiplantae; Chlorophyta; Ulvophyceae; Trentepohliales; Trentepohliaceae
Description: SSU rRNA
Rfam family: Eukaryotic small subunit ribosomal RNA
Source: RNAcentral